GUACUCCUACGGGACGCAGCAGUGAGGAAUAUUGGUCAAUGGGCGAGAGCCUGAACCGGCCAAGUCGCGUGAGGGAAGACGGUCCUAUGGAUUGUAAACCUCUUUUGCCGGGGAGCAAAAAGCGGUACGUGUACCGCAUCGAGAGUACCCGGAGAAAAAGCAUCGGCUAACUCCGUGCCAGCAGCCGCGGUAAUACGGAGGAUGCGAGCGUUAUCCGGAUUUAUUGGGUUUAAAGGGUGCGCAGGCGGCGAGUUAAGUCAGCGGUAAAAUUGCGGUGCUCAACGCCGUACAGCCGUUGAAACUGG
This 305-nucleotide ribosomal RNA is filed under the name uncultured bacterium. Its description in RNAcentral is "bacterial SSU rRNA". It matches the Rfam family "Bacterial small subunit ribosomal RNA", at positions 333 to 636 of the family's 1533-position model. The record is from RNAcentral.